ACAGCCCAAGGGUGUGUGCUCUGUGCUGUGGGCCUCAGCCAGCGGUGGUUCUUCCCUCUUUGAAGCUCCCAGCCAGAGAAGGGGUCCUGGCCUGUCCUGAGCCCCAGUGCCUGGGGGCAGAGAAGAUCUGCCCUUCCUGCUGGGUGGGGCCGCGCCUAGGAAAGAGAGGGCAGCUGGCUGACUCCCCAGACCCCUCACCGCCCACCCUCCUCCUCCUCUCCCAGGUAAGAGCAAAGAGGCGGAGAUUAAGAGAAUCAACAAGGAACUGGCCAACAUCCGCUCCAAGUUCAAAGGAGACAAAGCCUUGGAUGGCUACAGUAAGAAAAAAUACGUGUGUAAACUGCUUUUCAUCUUCCUGCUUGGCCAUGACAUUGACUUUGGGCACAUGGAGGCUGUGAACCUGUUGAGUUCCAAUAAAUACACAGAGAAGCAAAUAGGUUACCUGUUCAUUUCUGUGCUGGUGAACUCGAACUCGGAGCUGAUCCGCCUCAUCAAUAACGCCAUCAAGAAUGACCUGGCCAGCCGCAACCCCACCUUCAUGUGCCUGGCCCUGCACUGCAUUGCCAACGUGGGCAGCCGGGAGAUGGGUGAGGCCUUUGCCGCUGACAUCCCCCGCAUCCUGGUGGCCGGGUAAGGCAGUGGGGACCCGUUGGCAGUGGGGAGCUUGGGGGUGAUGAGUCCCAGCCAAGUGCGAGGCUCAGAGAGGCUGUGUCGCCUGCCCAAAGCCUCCCAGCCGGCAUGUGGGCUGACGCUGGGCUGGGGACCCAGUGGUUCUGGUGGCAGCCCCAUACUUGUGUCUUCCUGUGAUACAAAGCUGACUUGAUGGUGUGAGGCUGCUUCCCCACAGAGCCAGUGGGGUGCCUCUGAACUGCAGAACUGUAACACCUGUGAUAAGAGGGAUAACUGUACGCCAUGGGUGAUGGCCCUCCAGAACUUCCUCAUCUUCUCCAUUCAUUCACCAAACAUUUGCUGAGCACAUACUAUGUGCCGGGCACUGUGCUGAUUGCUGGGGAUGUUGUCCUGACCAGAGGCGGACGUGGUCAUUGCCCUCCCGUGUUCAUGGUCUGGAGGAGGAGACAAAUGGUGAUGGAAGAAUCACAGGAUGAAGUGUAGAAUUUGCCAGGUGUGAUGGCUCAUGUCAUCCGUGCAUUUGGGGAGGCUGAGGCAGGUAGAUUGCUUGAGUCUUAGGAGUUCAAGACCAGCCUGGGCAACAUGACAAAACCCCAAUCUCUACUAAAAAUUCCAAAAAUUGCCAGGGCAUGGUGGCAUGCACCUAUAGUCCCAGCUACUCGGGAGGCUAAGGUGGGAGGAUCACCUGAGCCCGGAAGGUCGAGGCUGUGAGUUGUCGUGGCGCCAGUGUACUCCAGCUUGGUGUGCACACAGGUGGGACUUCUAUUUCUGGCAGUAUGUUCAACUAGGUACCCGACUCAUGUUCUCCCUGAAACCUAACUGUCAAUAUUGGAUAAAAGAGGAAAGACAAUAUUAUUUAAUGGAUUCAUGAGGCAGCCAGAAAAUGAGGAGCACACAGGCCACAAGCAAAGAAGAACCAAGCACCCAAGCAGAUGAGCUGUGUGCUGGAGGCAUUUGCUGAACUGGGUGAACCCGAGUAUCGGUUCUGGGGCCCUGCAGCCUCUGGGAACAGAAGACAAAGCUUGUCUGAGAAGUUCUCGAAGGCUAUACUUCAAAGUGAGCGUGACCUAGAAGUAAACCCCCUUGGGGACUAGAAGGAAAAUUACGUGUCUGAAAUUUUGGCAUGGAACAGCCCUCAGACUGGUUUUCAGCCUGACUGUACCCUAUCUGGCUAGUCCAAAAACCCCUAAGUCAACCUUUAGUUUAAAGUGAUGGAAACUGGAGGUUCCCUAGUGCUUCACAGAAGCAAACAUACUUUUCUGAGGAAACCCAUUUUCACCACAAGCUUCAGUGAUACCCACAGAUAAAGCUCCAAGUGACAUGAGUAGCUCACAGCCAAAAAUCUCUAAACACACACAAGACACCAUGAGGGAGAAUCAGCAGACAGCAGAAAUAAAACAGAAGGCUGGGUGUGGUGGCUCACACCUGUAAUCACAACACUUUGGGCGGCCAAGGUGGGCAGAUUGCCUGAG
This is a long non-coding RNA of Piliocolobus tephrosceles (Ugandan red Colobus), 2102 nucleotides long. RefSeq lists it as uncharacterized. Lineage: Eukaryota; Metazoa; Chordata; Mammalia; Primates; Cercopithecidae. The record is from RefSeq and is a predicted model, not a curated record. The transcript has 3 exons.